Molecule: ribosomal RNA, 416 nt
Filed under: uncultured bacterium
Lineage: Bacteria
Description: bacterial SSU rRNA
Rfam family: Bacterial small subunit ribosomal RNA
Source: RNAcentral
GAGUAACGCGUAUGCAACCUACCUAUCAGGAGGGGAAUAACCCGGCGAAAGUCGGACUAAUACCGCAUAAAACAGGGGCACCGCAUGGUGAUAUUUGUUAAAGAGAUUCGCUGAUAGAUGGGCAUGCGUUCCAUUAGGUAGUUGGUGAGGUAACGGCUCACCAAGCCGACGAUGGAUAGGGGAACUGAGAGGUUGGUCCCCCCACACUGGUACUGAGACACGGACCAGACUCCUACGGGAGGCAGCAGUGAGGAAUAUUGGUCAAUGGGGCGGGAGCCUGAACCAGCCAAGUCGCGUAGAAGGAAGAAGGAUCUAUGGUUCGUAAACUUCUUUUGCAGGGGAAUAAAGUGCAGGACGUGUCCUGUUUUGUAUGUACCCUGAGAAUAAGGAUCGGCUAACUCCGUGCCAGCCGCAGC